Molecule: ribosomal RNA, 270 nt
Filed under: uncultured archaeon
Lineage: Archaea
Description: partial 16S ribosomal RNA
Rfam family: Archaeal small subunit ribosomal RNA
Source: RNAcentral
CAGCACCUCAAGUGGUCAGGAUGAUUAUUGGGCCUAAAGCAUCCGUAGCCUGCUUUGUCAGUUUUCGGUUAAAUCUGUAUGCUCAAAAUACAGGCUGCCGGGAAUACUGCAGAGCUAGGGAGUGGGAGAGGUAGACGGUACUCGGUAGGAAGGGGUAAAAUCCUUUGAUCUAUUGAUGACCACCUGUGGCGAAGGCGGUCUACCAGAACACGUCCGACGGUGAGGGAUGAAAGCUGGGGGAGCAAACCGGAUUAGAGACCCGAGUAGUCC